Molecule: small RNA, 29 nt
Filed under: Bombyx mori (domestic silkworm)
Lineage: Eukaryota; Metazoa; Arthropoda; Insecta; Lepidoptera; Bombycidae
Description: ovarian small RNA-2504
Source: RNAcentral
ACUCCGAAAGGGCCUCGCCUCGCGAAUCC